UUCCUAAACUAGCUCCUCCUUAAUGCCUUUUGUGAGGGCCAGGAACAUAGAUUGUUUUUAUCCCUGCUCCUGCCUUGAAUGCUUUCCCCUUUCCACCAGCCCAAAUUCUCUCCAUCCUUGGAGCCAGAUGCUUUCAGGGAAGUUCUCAGCAGGUGUUUCUGGCUUGCAGACCUUCUUGAGUUGAAGCUCACUUAGAAAGAUGUUAUCUCCAAGGGAAUUCAAUCAUAUCCUUCAUGUGGAAGAUGUCACCUGUAGAUGAAAAUUACAGUCUCCCUAAUGCAAGGGAAGGAACUCUAAACUGGCAUGGCGGUCCAGUUGGCCCUGUCGCACAUGCUUUCUGGGAUCUGCAAGAUGAAGGAGGAGAGACAGUUCCCAUUCCACAUCUUCAAUCCUCUGGGCCAAGAAAUAAUAUCACAGGAUAAGGCUGGACGUCCAUUGGUCAUAAGUCUUGAAGAAGGGAUUUCAGCAUUGGGAGAGCAGUUGGAUCAAGUUCUACAAUGCUUAUCUAACUGACCUGUCAUGAAGGAGUUGUGACAAGAAAUACUUCGAACCUACUGAGGGACUGUGCGAUUUCACAUACAUAACUUUACCACCA
Molecule: long non-coding RNA, 595 nt
Filed under: Monodelphis domestica (gray short-tailed opossum)
Lineage: Eukaryota; Metazoa; Chordata; Mammalia; Didelphimorphia; Didelphidae
Description: lncRNA (ENSMODG00000042868.1)
Source: RNAcentral